CCUACGGGUGGCAGCAGUGAGGAAUAUUGGUCAAUGGACGAGAGUCUGAACCAGCCAAGUAGCGUGAAGGAUGACUGCCCUAUGGGUUGUAAACUUCUUUUAUAUGGGAAUAAAAUGUUCCACGUGUGGGAUUUUGUAUGUACCAUAUGAAUAAGGAUCGGCUAACUCCGUGCCAGCAGCCGCGGUAAUACGGAGGAACCGAGCGUUACCCGGAUUUAUUGGGUUUAAAGGGAGCGUAGGUGGAUUGUUAAGUCAGUUGUGAAAGUUUGCGGCUCAACCGUAAAAUUGCAGUUGAAACUGGCAGUCUUGAGUACAGUAGAGGUGGGCGGAAUUCGUGGUGUAGCGGUGAAAUGCUUAGAUAUCACGAAGAACUCCGAUUGCGAAGGCAGUUCACUGGACUGCAACUGACACUGAGGCUCGAAAGUGUGGGUAUCAAACAGGAUUAGAUACCCGUGUAGUC
RNAcentral lists this ribosomal RNA (460 nucleotides) under uncultured bacterium. Its description in RNAcentral is "partial 16S ribosomal RNA". It matches the Rfam family "Bacterial small subunit ribosomal RNA", at positions 338 to 795 of the family's 1533-position model. The record is from RNAcentral.